This 72-nucleotide transfer RNA is filed under the name Loxodonta africana (African savanna elephant). It matches the Rfam family "tRNA". Rfam says of the family: Transfer RNA (tRNA) molecules are approximately 80 nucleotides in length. Their secondary structure includes four short double-helical elements and three loops (D, anti-codon, and T loops). Lineage: Eukaryota; Metazoa; Chordata; Mammalia; Proboscidea; Elephantidae. The record is from Rfam by way of RNAcentral.
ACACUGGUGGCAGAAUGGUGAUGCAUUCAGCUUCUGACCAAAAGGUUGGUGGUUUGAACCCACCCAGAUGCU